UACAGAGGGUGCAAGCGUUGUUCGGAAUUAUUGGGCGUAAAGGGCGCGUAGGCGGUGCGUUAAGUCUGCGGUGAAAUCUCGCGGCUCAACUGGGAGUCUGCCGUGGAAACUGCCGUGCUUGAGUGUGGGAGAGGUGAGUGGAAUUCCCGGUGUAGCGGUGAAAUGCGUAGAUAUCAGGAGGAACACCGGUGGCGAAGGCGGAUCUCUGGGCCGAUACUGACGCUGAGGAGCGAAAGCGUGGGGAGCGAACAGG
Molecule: ribosomal RNA, 253 nt
Filed under: uncultured bacterium
Lineage: Bacteria
Description: partial 16S ribosomal RNA
Rfam family: Bacterial small subunit ribosomal RNA
Source: RNAcentral